RNAcentral lists this ribosomal RNA (445 nucleotides) under uncultured Mycobacterium sp. RNAcentral's name for it is "bacterial SSU rRNA". It matches the Rfam family "Bacterial small subunit ribosomal RNA", at positions 338 to 795 of the family's 1533-position model. The record is from RNAcentral. Lineage: Bacteria; Bacillati; Actinomycetota; Actinomycetes; Mycobacteriales; Mycobacteriaceae.
CCUACGGGGGGCUGCAGUGGGGAAUAUUGCACAAUGGGCGCAAGCCUGAUGCAGCGACGCCGCGUGGGGGAUGACGGCCUUCGGGUUGUAAACCUCUUUCAGUACCGACGAAGCGCAAGUGACGGUAGGUACAGAAGAAGCACCGGCCAACUACGUGCCAGCAGCCGCGGUAAUACGUAGGGUGCGAGCGUUGUCCGGAAUUACUGGGCGUAAAGAGCUCGUAGGUGGUUUGUCGCGUUGUCCGUGAAAACUCACAGCUUAACUGUGGGCGUGCGGGCGAUACGGGCAGACUAGAGUACUGCAGGGGAGACUGGAAUUCCUGGUGUAGCGGUGGAAUGCGCAGAUAUCAGGAGGAACACCGGUGGCGAAGGCGGGUCUCUGGGCAGUAACUGACGCUGAGGAGCGAAAGCGUGGGGAGCGAACAGGAUUAGAUACCCUGGUAGUC